Molecule: ribosomal RNA, 578 nt
Filed under: marine sediment bacterium BB0608_2216_8.2_6G0
Lineage: Bacteria
Description: bacterial SSU rRNA
Rfam family: Bacterial small subunit ribosomal RNA
Source: RNAcentral
ACGAGUGGCGGACGGGUGAGUAAUGCUUGGGAACUUGCCUUUGCGAGGGGGAUAACAGUUGGAAACGACUGCUAAUACCGCAUAAUGUCUUCGGACCAAACGGGGCUUAGGCUCCGGCGCAAAGAGAGGCCCAAGUGAGAUUAGCUAGAUGGUGAGGUAAAGGCUCACCAUGGCGACGAUCUCUAGCUGUUCUGAGAGGAAGAUCAGCCACACUGGGACUGAGACACGGCCCAGACUCCUACGGGAGGCAGCAGUGGGGAAUAUUGCACAAUGGGGGAAACCCUGAUGCAGCCAUGCCGCGUGUGUGAAGAAGGCCUUCGGGUUGUAAAGCACUUUCAGUUGUGAGGAAAAGUUGGUAGUUAAUACCUGCCAGCCGUGACGUUAGCAACAGAAGAAGCACCGGCUAACUCCGUGCCAGCAGCCGCGGUAAUACGGAGGGUGCGAGCGUUAAUCGGAAUUACUGGGCGUAAAGCGCACGCAGGCGGUUUGUUAAGCUAGAUGUGAAAGCCCCGGGCUCAACCUGGGACGGUCAUUUAGAACUGGCAGACUAGAGUCUUGGAGAGGGGAGUGGAAUUCCA